RNAcentral lists this ribosomal RNA (515 nucleotides) under Starmerella sp. RNAcentral describes it as "partial large subunit ribosomal RNA". The stretch from base 290 to 515 matches the Rfam family "Eukaryotic large subunit ribosomal RNA", at positions 1 to 231 of the family's 3401-position model. Lineage: Eukaryota; Fungi; Ascomycota; Dipodascomycetes; Dipodascales; Trichomonascaceae. The record is from RNAcentral.
AGAGUGAAAAGGUACGUGAAAUUGUUGAAAUGGAAGGCAAUGAGGCGCGAUUGCGCCGGACGUGCGCGGGCAGGACAAAGGCGCGGGCCGCUUCGGCACCGCCUGCGCUCCUACUGCCCCGCGGACCACCGGCGCUAACAACGCCUUACUGCACCCGUCUUGAAACACGGACCCGCUUUGCCCGACCCCGGGUUGCUUGGUUGAGCGUCGAACCUCUCCACGGUGUUACUGCUCCAGCAGUCAAAGGCAUGGAACGCACCCGUUAGCACAACGGUGUUUUGUGAACCGCUGACCUUCACCGCGCAAGAGCACCCGCUGAACUUUAAGCAUAUCAAUAAGCCGGAGGAAAAGAAAACCAACAGGGGAUUGCCCCUAGUAAUGGCGAAUGAACCGGGCAAGAGCUCAAAAUUUGAAACCCUUCGGGAUUUGUAUUCUGGAAGGCCCAGAUCCCGGCAGCUGGGCCAAGUCUCCUGGAAACGGAGCGCCCUGGAAGGGUGACAGCCCCCGUAACAACA